GUGUCAGCAGCCGCGGUAAUACGAACUGUGCGAACGUUAUUCGGAAUCACUGGGCUUAAAGGGUGCGUAGGCGGCUCGUCCAGUCAGGUGUGAAAGCCCCCGGCUCAACCGGGGAACAGCGCUUGAAACUAGCGGGCUUGAGUGAGGUAGGGGACCACGGAACUUCCGGUGGAGCGGUGAAAUGUGUAGAUAUCGGAAGGAACGCCGGUGGCGAAAGCGGUGGUCUGGGCCUUGUCUGACGCUGAGGCACGAAAGCCAGGGGAGUGAACGGGAUUAGAUACCCCGGUAAUCCUGGCCGUAAACACUGAGCACUGGAGGGGAGGGGCUUCGGCCGUUCCCCUCGCAGCGAAAGCGUUAAGUGCUCCGCCUGGGGAGUAUGGUCGCAAGGCUGAA
This 393-nucleotide ribosomal RNA is filed under the name uncultured bacterium. RNAcentral's name for it is "bacterial SSU rRNA". It matches the Rfam family "Bacterial small subunit ribosomal RNA", at positions 505 to 898 of the family's 1533-position model. The record is from RNAcentral.